GUUUUAAUAGCUUAACUUAAAAGCACUGGUCUUGUAAGCCAGAGACGGGGACCCCCGCCCCUUAAAACA
RNAcentral lists this transfer RNA (69 nucleotides) under Dopasia harti (Hart's glass lizard). RNAcentral describes it as "tRNA-Thr". It matches the Rfam family "tRNA". Rfam says of the family: Transfer RNA (tRNA) molecules are approximately 80 nucleotides in length. Their secondary structure includes four short double-helical elements and three loops (D, anti-codon, and T loops). Further hydrogen bonds mediate the characteristic L-shaped molecular structure. tRNAs have two regions of fundamental functional importance: the anti-codon, which is responsible for specific mRNA codon recognition, and the 3' end, to which the tRNAs corresponding amino acid is attached (by aminoacyl-tRNA synthetases). tRNAs cope with the degeneracy of the genetic code in two manners: having more than one tRNA (with a specific anti-codon) for a particular amino acid; and 'wobble' base-pairing, i.e. permitting non-standard base-pairing at the 3rd anti-codon position. Lineage: Eukaryota; Metazoa; Chordata; Lepidosauria; Squamata; Anguidae. The record is from RNAcentral. RNAcentral also lists the same sequence under 1 other name.